RNAcentral lists this long non-coding RNA (268 nucleotides) under Lathyrus oleraceus (garden pea). RNAcentral describes it as "Pisum sativum (pea) long non-coding RNA (PSAT_LNC000911)". Lineage: Eukaryota; Viridiplantae; Streptophyta; Magnoliopsida; Fabales; Fabaceae. The record is from RNAcentral.
GGGGGGAUACACAUCACAGUAAGAGAUUUUUCAAAAGAAACUCUAAACAUAACAGCAAACACAGCAAUAAACGCAGCAAAGUUAUUUUUCUUCAAAACCCAAAAUCAAGAACAACAUAAACACAACAAAGUUAUUUUUCUUCAAAACCCAAAAUCAAGAACAACCUAAACACAAACAGAGUUUUCUUUCAAAAACCAUAAAGAACACAACAGUAAGAAAUUUCUCAAAAACCCUAAAAACUUACGGAAAAGCAAAAGGAAGGUAGUUC